RNAcentral lists this ribosomal RNA (461 nucleotides) under uncultured bacterium. RNAcentral's name for it is "bacterial SSU rRNA". It matches the Rfam family "Bacterial small subunit ribosomal RNA", at positions 340 to 791 of the family's 1533-position model. The record is from RNAcentral.
UACGGAAGGCAGCAGUGGGGAAUAUUGCACAAUGGGCGCAAGCCUGAUGCAGCCAUGCCGCGUGUAUGAAGAAGGCCUUCGGGUUGUAAAGUACUUUCAGCGGGGAGGAAGGCGAUGUGGUUAAUAACCGCAUCGAUUGACGUUACCCGCAGAAGAAGCACCGGCUAACUCCGUGCCAGCAGCCGCGGUAAUACGGAGGGUGCAAGCGUUAAUCGGAAUUACUGGGCGUAAAGCGCACGCAGGCGGUCUGUCAAGUCGGAUGUGAAAUCCCCGGGCUUAACCUGGGAACUGCAUUCGAAACUGGCAGGCUAGAGUCUUGUAGAGGGGGUAGAAUUCCGAGGUGUAGCGGUGAAAUGCGUAGAGAUCUGGAGGAAUACCGGUGGCGAAGGCGGGCCCCUGGGACAAGACUGACGCUCAGGUGCGAAAGCGUGGGGAGCAAACGAGGAUUAGGAUAACCCGGU